RNAcentral lists this ribosomal RNA (301 nucleotides) under Clostridioides difficile. Its description in RNAcentral is "bacterial SSU rRNA". It matches the Rfam family "Bacterial small subunit ribosomal RNA", at positions 320 to 635 of the family's 1533-position model. Lineage: Bacteria; Bacillati; Bacillota; Clostridia; Peptostreptococcales; Peptostreptococcaceae. The record is from RNAcentral.
AACCCAACUGAAUGGAGCCCUACGGGGGGCUGCAGUGGGGAAUAUUGGACAAUGGACCAAAAGUCUGAUCCAGCAAUUCUGUGUGCACGAUGAAGUUUUUCGGAAUGUAAAGUGCUUUCAGUUGGGAAGAAGAAAGUGACGGUACCAACAGAAGAAGCGACGGCUAAAUACGUGCCAGCAGCCGCGGUAAUACGUAUGUCGCAAGCGUUAUCCGGAUUUAUUGGGCGUAAAGCGCGUCUAGGCGGUUUGGUAAGUCUGAUGUGAAAAUGCGGGGCUCAACUCCGUAUUGCGUUGGAAACUG